UAGAUCUAAAACGGCGAACCCAGUAUCCCUAACCAUCAACUCUUCAACAAUGCGAUUCAAAUCUCAAACGCCGAAACCAAAAAAGGGAGGGAACUCCUUAAUCUGCAAGGCGGCAAAACUUAACCAGAAACCUCUCUCUCUCACCAAGAGUUAAGGACUACAGACGUCGCGCGGAAAUAUAAUCGGAAGAGUCUCAUGCGGCAGUCGCUUCGAAUCUACCGUCUGCUUCCAAUUCAUCGCCGGGAGACCUCCGGCUGGAUUCCGUGCUAUCAAACGGUACUAGUGCAUGGAGCUUAAAUGAGAAAAUCAUUCAAUAUCCAGGCAUACCUCUCCAGAAGCAGUACUGGAUUCCCUCUGUGGACAGACCUGAUGAGCAAAAACAAUGCUAGGGUGUCUUGGGAUAUUUAUGAGAUCCUCAGAUAAUCAUGCCACACCUUUCCAAAAGUGAUCAUUUGAUAAUGUAGUUCAUAUCUGUAAUGAGAUAGAGCAUGGAAAGUCAGUGAAGG
This is a long non-coding RNA of Salvia splendens (bonfire salvia), 506 nucleotides long. RefSeq lists it as uncharacterized. The transcript has 3 exons. The record is from RefSeq and is a predicted model, not a curated record. Lineage: Eukaryota; Viridiplantae; Streptophyta; Magnoliopsida; Lamiales; Lamiaceae.